CCCCGCCGGGGAGGCGGCAGCUCAUCGCCACGAUGGCGAUCGGGUCGUCGUGGUCGGUGGCGACGGUCCGGGUGGCGGCCGGGCGCGGGGUC
RNAcentral lists this transfer RNA (92 nucleotides) under Streptomyces violaceusniger. Its description in RNAcentral is "tRNA-Ser". The record is from RNAcentral. Lineage: Bacteria; Bacillati; Actinomycetota; Actinomycetes; Kitasatosporales; Streptomycetaceae.